This is a long non-coding RNA of Amphiprion ocellaris (clown anemonefish), 667 nucleotides long. The record is from Ensembl. Lineage: Eukaryota; Metazoa; Chordata; Actinopteri; Pomacentridae.
CUCCUGUGGAACAACCCAUUACCCAGAACUGUACACUUUCUACCGUUGAGGGAAAAGGUGAACAAACAGGAGAACUUCAAAGGCUUCCUGGCAGUGGGGAACAUUGGCAGGGUGGCAGCUAUUUUCUUCUCCAUAAUCAUAAUCCUCGUCUUUAUUUUCCGUCGGAUGCUUCUGUCCAGGGACGAUGGACAUCGGCUCAACACCUCAACUGCUGGGAAUAUCUAUGAAAGCAUCCCAGUGCCUUAAAGACAGCAAACGUAAUUGGAGCACAGAUUUCUAUAAGCAACUUCAGACUGCAAAAGUAGCCACGUGUCAUGUGUCAAAAAUCUCAAACUCAUUAAAUAACAGUUUGAACUCUUUUGGAAAUGGGAACACAAAUGACCCAUUUCCACAGUAAAGCAGCUUAUAUUCUCAGAUGGCACUGAAAAGGGUAAAUGUGAGUCAGAAGAUGCAACACUAUCCUGCACAUAAAUUCAUUUGCUUUUAAUUUCUGAUUUUCUGUGUUUGCCCUGAAAAGUAUGUGACUAGUUUAUGCUUGUGGCCACAAUGCCACCUACUGGCCUGACUGAAUACUGUUAUCACAAUCCUCAGUAAUGUGAAAAACACCGUUUGGUGGUAAAGCGAAGAUAGGAGCUGAAAUUAUAAGAGGCUGGGAGACAUGUGAAGA